RNAcentral lists this ribosomal RNA (166 nucleotides) under Priestia flexa. RNAcentral describes it as "Bacillus flexus partial 23S ribosomal RNA". It matches the Rfam family "Bacterial large subunit ribosomal RNA", at positions 1 to 164 of the family's 2925-position model. Lineage: Bacteria; Bacillati; Bacillota; Bacilli; Caryophanales; Bacillaceae. The record is from RNAcentral.
AUGGUUAAGUUAGAAAGGGCGCACGGUGAAUGCCUUGGCACUAGGAGCCGAUGAAGGACGGGACUAACACCGAUAUGCUUCGGGGAGCUGUAAGUAAGCUUUGAUCCGGAGAUUUCCGAAUGGGGAAACCCACUGUUCGUAAUGGAGCAGUAUCUUUAUCUGAAUA